AAAAAAACUUUGGAGGGUAAUCUAUUCCAGUACCUUUUGAUGACUUUAAGAGAAACCAGAGUGAGCAAACAAUUUAACACAUGUAAUGUUAUUGUCCCCCAAGUCCCUGGUACAAGUUCAAGGCUGAGAAGAAGUAAGACUU
Molecule: long non-coding RNA, 142 nt
Organism: Talpa occidentalis (Iberian mole)
Lineage: Eukaryota; Metazoa; Chordata; Mammalia; Eulipotyphla; Talpidae
Exons: 3
Source: RefSeq, a predicted model, not a curated record